This 466-nucleotide ribosomal RNA is filed under the name uncultured bacterium. Its description in RNAcentral is "bacterial SSU rRNA". It matches the Rfam family "Bacterial small subunit ribosomal RNA", at positions 338 to 795 of the family's 1533-position model. The record is from RNAcentral.
CCUACGGGAGGCAGCAGUAGGGAAUCUUCCGCAAUGGACGAAAGUCUGACGGAGCGACGCCGCGUGAGCGAAGAAGGUCUUCGGAUCGUAAAGCUCUGUUGUUAGGGAAGAAGAAGUACCGUUCGAAUAGGGCGGUACGGUGACGGUACCUAACGAGAAAGCCCCGGCUAACUACGUGCCAGCAGCCGCGGUAAUACGUAGGGGGCGAGCGUUGUCCGGAAUUAUUGGGCGUAAAGCGCGCGCAGGCGGUCCCUUAAGUCUGAUGUGAAAGCCCACGGCUCAACCGUGGAGGGUCAUUGGAAACUGGGGGACUUGAGUGCAGAAGAGGAGAGCGGAAUUCCAUGUGUAGCGGUGAAAUGCGUAGAGAUGUGGAGGAUUACCGGUGGCGAAGGCGGCCCCCUGGACAAAGACUGACGCUCAGGUGCGAAAGCGUGGGGAGCAAACAGGAUUAGAUACCCUGGUAGUC